CGGGUACAAUCAACUCACUGACGUAUUAAGCCAGCUCGCUUUUUCCCCACUGACAGGAGUUUACAAUCCGAAAACCUUCAUCCUCCACGCGGCGUUGCUGCGUCAGGGUUUCCCCCAUUGCGCAAAAUUCCCC
Molecule: ribosomal RNA, 133 nt
Filed under: uncultured bacterium
Lineage: Bacteria
Description: partial 16S ribosomal RNA
Source: RNAcentral